AAAAAAUACCAGGGAACUGUGAGGUCAGCUCAACCAAGCACUUCAACAUGCUGAGCCCCAGGGCUAGCUGGGCAUCUGGCUAGCAGGGCUUGGAUCUCCUUCCUGUGUCUUCACUACUUGUAGGAAGCUGCAUGAAAUCUCCCAGCCCCAAGACCACAAGUGUCUCAUAGGGGACACGGCACUUCCAUCACUGUGCAUAGCAGUCAGAAGAGUGACCUUUUUACAAGAUACAUUUACAAUGAGACAGGUUAACUCCUGGCAACUCUCAGCCUACCUCAAAGGAGAUGAUAAGCAUCAAGAACAUUCUCAUGGAGAUGGCUUCAAAUGUGGCAAACCAGGCACUGGGCAAAAUGUCCUCAUUUCUACAACAGACAGAAAUCUGACUAAAAAUAGGCAAGCCUUAGAUGCAGGCAGAGUCAGUGGCCAAACUCUGCCAAGACAGGACAAGCAAGUCCUCAAUAGCUCCCACCUCACAAAUAUGUCUGUCAGAUACAUUGGGACAGAAGGCCGAAGAUGAUGCUCCAAUGUCACAAAGAACUUUGGGUGGCUGUUCAGAAGAGACACCAUGACCACGGCAACUCUCAAAGGAAAAGGUUUAUUGGGGCUGGCAUACAAUUCCGUUUAUUAGCCCUUUAUCAUCAUAGUGGGAAUCACGGCAGCACACAGGCAGACAUGGCUGGAGAGGAGGAGCUGAGAGUCCUACAUCUGGAUCAGCAGGCAGAAGCAGGAGAUUGUGCCAUACUUGGCAUAGCUUGAGCAUAUAAGACCUCAAAGCCCUCCUCCUCAGUGACAUACUUCCUCCACCAAGGCCACACCCACUCCACCAAGGCCACACCCACUCCACCAAGGCCACACCUCCUCAUAGUGCUACUCCUUAUACCUAAGAGCCAAGUAUUCAAAU
Acomys russatus (golden spiny mouse) is the source of this 901-nucleotide long non-coding RNA. RefSeq lists it as uncharacterized. The record is from RefSeq and is a predicted model, not a curated record. Lineage: Eukaryota; Metazoa; Chordata; Mammalia; Rodentia; Muridae. The transcript is spliced from 3 exons.